This is a long non-coding RNA of Girardinichthys multiradiatus, 1152 nucleotides long. RefSeq lists it as uncharacterized. Lineage: Eukaryota; Metazoa; Chordata; Actinopteri; Cyprinodontiformes; Goodeidae. The transcript is spliced from 3 exons. The record is from RefSeq and is a predicted model, not a curated record.
AUGUAAAUGAAACACAUUACCGCUGACAAUCAAUUGUCCGCAAGCGCCCGACGAAAAACAGCCCUCCUACUCCUCCUCCCUGUUUUUCCCUGUUUUUCUCCCCCCUUCAUCAACAUGCUCGGUGAUGGUGGCAAGAAUUUAAAAGGGGAAAAGCUGGGAAAACAGAGAAAAUGAGCACCUUGCCUACACCCAGUCUCUGCAAAGUUGAAAAUGGGAAUCGGAAUAACAGAGGCGUGCAAAUUGUCUGGAUUUCUAAAACGUAUAUAAGCCUCGGACUCCAGCAGAUUCCCGCUCCUCUUUCUGCUGCUUCAGGUUAUGUAAUCGCUGGAUGUGACAGGCAACACCUGGCGGGGGCCAAACUCUCAAACAACUUCACGCUGCUCGGAUCAAGUUUCGCACCAGGAAAAGGCGAAGAGGCUGCUCCUCUUCUUUUUGUGGAGCAAGACAGAGUUCGGACUUGAAAAAUGUCAUGCAUGGGGGUUUGGAUAAACCAUGAAGCGCAUCAUUUCUGCAAACUGGAACAAAUGCAGACAAAUAUUCUGGGAAUUUCUCCAUGUGGAGGAUUAACUUGGAUGUUUUAUUUGUCUCAAAUUGUCUGGGUGGAAUAUUCUAAACAAAAAAUAAGAGACAGUUGGUGUUUGGUAAAUUAGACGAUUAGAUUUGUGGAUUUCUAUCCGGCAGAUAAGAAAUUAAGCAAGAUGAGGGGCUCUUGCCGUCCCUCCACUGACCUAGGCAGAGAAAGGGAAAAGUGUGUGUGGGGUGGGGGGUUAAAAGAGAGUGGCCAAGCCUCAGUGAGCUUCUGCAUUCCCAAAAGGGGGGAAGGAGGAGGAAAAAGCUGGAUUUUUUUUUAUUUAAAGAGAAGGUUGGAUAAAAAUACUCCUGACACAACGAGCCGCAUCUCAUCAACUUCUUCAGGAAAGCGACGGAAUACAUGAACCCACUAUGAUUCCCAACAAACCUCCACUCAGGACAAACAUCUGACCCCAGCAGCUCGGAUAACGGUCCCCUUCAUCCCUGCGUAAAAAAGCUCCAGCAACCCGCAGCGGACUCUCACGCACCCACGGAGCCGCCGCAGACGCCUCCAACCCCGGCCACAACAUCCACAGAUCCAACUCUCCCACUCCCACAGACAAGACACGCUCUCCCCGAGGU